RNAcentral lists this long non-coding RNA (2746 nucleotides) under Capsicum annuum. RNAcentral's name for it is "long non-coding RNA (CANN_LNC019522)". Lineage: Eukaryota; Viridiplantae; Streptophyta; Magnoliopsida; Solanales; Solanaceae. The record is from RNAcentral.
CUCUUUUCCUUUUUGAUAAUAUUUUACUUUCAACUUUCCACAUGACAUAUUUAGGACCACAUGAUUAAAAAACAUUUUGAUACAACUUUAAUUUAAGAUAAUAAGAUUCAAAAAUCUUCUUUAUUUUCUUAAACUUUGUGUCAAGUCAGUCAUUCUUUUUUAAACGGAGGGAAUAUUCUUUUUGUUCAGAUUUAAUUGACAAAUUUUAAUUUAGUAUAUCUAUUAAAAAAAUAAUAAUUGUUAUAAUGACUUUAUUAUAUUAUACUCUUAUUAUCUGAUGUUUCGUACUUUCUUCGUAUCAAAAUAGUAGGAUUUUUUAAAAAGAUAUUUAUUUUAAUUUAAUUUUUUCUUUUAUAAAAUAAAAAAAAAUUAUUAUGUUCUUUUAACAAUACUCUUUAGGGGUGGACAUUCGAAAAUUCGGUUCGAUUUCGAUUUUAUUUUUAUUUUUUUGGUUUUUGGUUCUCAAUUUAGGUGUACUGAAAAUCGAACCUAACCAAUUCGGUUCGGUUCGAUUUAUGUAAGUUUGGUUCAGUUCGAUUUAUUAAUUUUGAUUUUUUGAUUUUUGGGUCUCUUUAACGGGCUAAUUUCUAAUUGGGCCUACUAACACGUAAAUUUGUAUUUCCUGUAUCUAAUAUCUAAAGUUCAAUGAGUGACAUUUUAUUUGUCAUUGGCAUUAUAUAUGUGCUGAUGUACACACUACACUGGAUAUUCCUUAUUUUGUUUCCAACACCUUAAACAAAUGAAAAAGAUAUUUUCUCAAUUAAAAACUUAAAUAGAUUUAUACAUUGAUUUUUCUCAUGAAUCAUAAGUUAUUUUCUUCUUCUUUACAAAAAUGAAUAAAACAAAAUACUAUAAUAAACAAUGACAAAUCUGUGGAACCUUUUGGCAACAGAAAUGAGAAAACUUUAUGGAUUUUAAAUAAAAAUUUUGUAUGCACUAUGCACUCACACAACUAAAAGUAAAAUGACAUUACAUAUAUACACACUAAAAGCGUGUUUCAACUCUUGCGGGUCUAUUGCUCCAUUACUGUCUUCAUCUACAAACAACACAGAAAUCUUGUCAAGUUCUUAUCAGGUUAUUCAUUCCUUUUACGUUAGAGAAGAAGGGGAAUUGCAAAUAUAAAAAUGCUUUGUGAAAAAAUAGAAGUUCGGCCUAGAAUGUGCUUAUGCAGUAAACCGUAAACGUAACCAAAAUGAUACGUAAAAACAUCGGACAAAGGACGUGCUCAAAUUUCUUGUUCUUGCAGGAGAGGAUCUGACAUACUUAACCAUUUGCCUUACCCUUUUGAUAGAAGGACCAAUUUCUUUCAAACCAUCUUGCACAAUUAGAUUAAGUAUAUGAGUCAUACAUCUUACAUAGAGGUGUUUACCAUCCAUCACAUUGGUUCCCCACAUAUCUAACUUCUUAGACAAUGCAGAAACUGCAAUAUUGUUUGAAGAAGCAUUAUCAACAGUAACAGUGAACACAUACUCCAAUUUUCAAGCAAGCAAGCAAUUACUAAUACACUCCGCCAAAUGUUCACCUUUAUGACUAGUGAUAGGGCAAAAGUUCAAAAUUCUAUUAUGAAGCACUCAAUCUUUAUCAAUAAAGUGAGCAGUCAAACACAUAUAGCUAAUCCUUUGCAUCGAUGUCCAUGUGUCUGUUGUAAGACAGAUUUUUGGUUGCAUUUCUCUAAAAGACUUCUUCAAACUUAGUCUCAAUUCACCAUAAAUAUCUUAGCAAUCUCUUGUUAUUGUUCUACGAGAAGAAAUCCGAAACAAAGGUUGGGCUUUACUCAUAAAUUUCUUAAAGCCUUCAUUUUCUACGAAGCUAAAUGGUAGUUCAUCUACAAUUAUCAUCUCAACUAAAGUUCUCCUAACUACCUCUUGCUCAAAUUUCCAAUAUUCUCCCGAUGAAUCCUUUGUUUGAAAGUUUAACAAUGUUUGACCACUAGACGGGGUGGCGGGGCUUAUACAUUUUGCAUCUAACCAAAUGUUGUCUCAAUCCACUUAUUUCAUUUUUAGUUGUAUUAGCAGCACAAUUUUGAUGGCAAUGCAAACAUUUUGCUUUAGCUAGUUUAUUAUUUUCAAAUAUCUUUUCAAAAUGUUCCCAAACAGUAGAUCUACUUUCUAUUUCUUUCCUUUUCUUUGCAUCCGUAGUGUCAACUGAGUUGUCAUUACUAUUAUCAGGUACGCUAUCAGCUGAACCAGCCAUACUAACUCGACUUUCAUCAUCCAUCUAUGCAAAAUUUGAAAGAAAAAACAAGAUUAAAAGUGUUUAGACUAUUUAACAAUCGAACAUAUUUCACAAAAUCAGAAAAAUCAAUUUACAGAAUCAGGCAAUCAGAAAAAUCAACAAAAAAUCUCACACUCUUCACCAAAUCACUGAUUAAAAUCAAAAUAAAUUAAGAAGUAAAUUUUUCAAAUCACUGAAUUAGUCAAUAGAAAAAAAAAAAAAGAAGAAGAAGAAGAAAAACAAAAAAAUAGAAAAGAAAAUGAUACCUGAUUCGCCGCUGAGUCGCUGUCUCGCUGACUAUCCGCCGUUCGUCGCUCCAAUGGGUUCGCCGUUAGUCGCUACUCGCUAAUUGCUAAAGAAACUAAGUGAUAACUGUGUCUGCUAGUCUGCGCUAAGCCGCUAAUGCUAAUUGCUAAGUGAUGUUAUGUUAUGUCUUUGACCUAGAGUAUAGAGAGAGUAUUCAGUCAUUCAGAGUAGUGACCAAUUGUCCAAUUAGGCUGGUGUACUGUACAUUAUUAAAUUGGGGUGGCCA